Rattus norvegicus (Norway rat) is the source of this 63-nucleotide non-coding RNA. The record is from Rfam. Lineage: Eukaryota; Metazoa; Chordata; Mammalia; Rodentia; Muridae.
GGGGAUUUAGCUCAGCGGUAGAGUGCUUGCCUAGCAAGCGCAAGGCCCUGGGUUCAGUCCCCA